Molecule: ribosomal RNA, 581 nt
Filed under: uncultured bacterium
Lineage: Bacteria
Description: bacterial SSU rRNA
Rfam family: Bacterial small subunit ribosomal RNA
Source: RNAcentral
UCUACGGGAGGCAGCAGUGGGGAAUUUUGGACAAUGGGGGCAACCCUGAUCCAGCCAUGCCGCGUGCGGGAAGAAGGCCUUCGGGUUGUAAACCGCUUUCGGCCGGAACGAAAUCGCAUCUGUGAAUAGCGGGUGUGGAUGACGGUACCGGAAGAAGAAGCACCGGCUAACUACGUGCCAGCAGCCGCGGUAAUACGUAGGGUGCGAGCGUUAAUCGGAAUUACUGGGCGUAAAGCGUGCGCAGGCGGCCGCGUAAGCCAGAGGUGAAAUCCCCGGGCUCAACCUGGGAAUGGCCUUUGGGACUGCGUGGCUCGAGUGCGGCAGAGGGGGGUGGAAUUCCUGGUGUAGCAGUGAAAUGCGUAGAUAUCAGGAGGAACACCGAUGGCGAAGGCAGCCCCCUGGGCCAGCACUGACGCUCAGGCACGAAAGCGUGGGGAGCAAACAGGAUUAGAUACCCUGGUAGUCCACGCCCUAAACGAUGACGACUAGUUGUUGGGGGAGCAAUCCCUUAGUAACGUAGCUAACGCGUGAAGUCGUCCGCCUGGGGAGUACGGUCGCAAGAUUAAAACUCAAAGGAAUUG